UAAAUUUCAAAACUUUUUCUCAACAGCCUUUCAAUUUAAACUCUGACUCUCAUUAUGUGUGUCAACUUAUUUUUAAUCUUCCAGGUGCUU
Non-coding RNA from Notechis scutatus (mainland tiger snake), 90 nucleotides. NCBI's taxonomy places the organism in Eukaryota, Metazoa, Chordata, Lepidosauria, Squamata, Elapidae. The record is from RefSeq and is a predicted model, not a curated record.